CUCUAUUGCCAUACCAUCCUGAAUGUGCCCGAUCUCAUCUGAUCUCGGAAGCUAAGCAGGGUCCGGCCUGGUUAGUACUUGGAUGGGAGACCACCUGGGAAUACCGGGUACUGUAGGCU
Ribosomal RNA from Mesocricetus auratus (golden hamster), 119 nucleotides. NCBI's taxonomy places the organism in Eukaryota, Metazoa, Chordata, Mammalia, Rodentia, Cricetidae. The record is from Ensembl.